RNAcentral lists this RNase P RNA (291 nucleotides) under human gut metagenome. RNAcentral describes it as "Bacterial RNase P class A". It matches the Rfam family "Bacterial RNase P class A", at positions 33 to 352 of the family's 367-position model. Rfam says of the family: Ribonuclease P (RNase P) is a ubiquitous endoribonuclease, found in archaea, bacteria and eukarya as well as chloroplasts and mitochondria. Its best characterised activity is the generation of mature 5'-ends of tRNAs by cleaving the 5'-leader elements of precursor-tRNAs. The record is from RNAcentral.
UUGAAAUAUAGAGGAAAGUCCGGGCUCCAUAGGACAUGAUGCUGGCUAACGGCCAGGAGCAGCAAUGCUACAGAUAGUGCAACAGAGAGUAGACCGCCGAAAGGUAAGGGUGAAAGGGCAGUGUAAGAGACUACCGCUUGACUGGUGACAGUUAAGGCAUGGUAAACCUCAUCAGGAGCAAGGCCAAGUAUGUAACUGGCUUGUCCGGCUAUAGUUACGGGUAGGCUGCUUGAGCUGCAGAGUAAUCUGCCGCCUAGAUAGAUGAUUGCAUAAACAGAACUCGGCUUAUCA